RNAcentral lists this ribosomal RNA (253 nucleotides) under uncultured bacterium. Its description in RNAcentral is "partial 16S ribosomal RNA". It matches the Rfam family "Bacterial small subunit ribosomal RNA", at positions 524 to 776 of the family's 1533-position model. The record is from RNAcentral.
UACGUAGGGGCCAAGCGUUGUCCGGAAUCAUUGGGCGUAAAGCGCGCGUAGGCGGCCCGGUAAGUCCGCUGUGAAAGUCCAGGGCUCAACCCUGGAAAGCCGGUGGAUACUGCCGGGCUAGAGUCCGGGAGAGGCGAGUGGAAUUCCUGGUGUAGCGGUGGAAUGCGCAGAUAUCGAGAGGAACACCUGCGGCGAAGGCGGGUUGCUGGGCCGACACUGACGCUGAUGCGCGAAAGCCAGGGGAGCGAACGGG